RNAcentral lists this ribosomal RNA (807 nucleotides) under Campylobacter sp. Its description in RNAcentral is "bacterial SSU rRNA". It matches the Rfam family "Bacterial small subunit ribosomal RNA", at positions 636 to 1440 of the family's 1533-position model. Lineage: Bacteria; Pseudomonadati; Campylobacterota; Epsilonproteobacteria; Campylobacterales; Campylobacteraceae. The record is from RNAcentral.
GAAGUCUAGAGUGAGGGAGAGGCAGAUGGAAUUGGUGGUGUAGGGGUAAAAUCCGUAGAUAUCACCAAGAAUACCCAUUGCGAAGGCGAUCUGCUGGAACUCAACUGACGCUAAGGCGCGAAAGCGUGGGGAGCAAACAGGAUUAGAUACCCUGGUAGUCCACGCCCUAAACGAUGUACACUAGUUGUUGGGGUGCUAGUCAUCUCAGUAAUGCAGCUAACGCAUUAAGUGUACCGCCUGGGGAGUACGGUCGCAAGAUUAAAACUCAAAGGAAUAGACGGGGACCCGCACAAGCGGUGGAGCAUGUGGUUUAAUUCGAAGAUACGCGAAGAACCUUACCUGGGCUUGAUAUCCUAAGAACCUUUUAGAGAUAAGAGGGUGCUAGCUUGCUAGAACUUAGAGACAGGUGCUGCACGGCUGUCGUCAGCUCGUGUCGUGAGAUGUUGGGUUAAGUCCCGCAACGAGCGCAACCCACGUAUUUAGUUGCUAACGGUUCGGCCGAGCACUCUAAAUAGACUGCCUUCGUAAGGAGGAGGAAGGUGUGGACGACGUCAAGUCAUCAUGGCCCUUAUGCCCAGGGCGACACACGUGCUACAAUGGCAUAUACAAUGAGACGCAAUACCGCGAGGUGGAGCAAAUCUAUAAAAUAUGUCCCAGUUCGGAUUGUUCUCUGCAACUCGAGAGCAUGAAGCCGGAAUCGCUAGUAAUCGUAGAUCAGCCAUGCUACGGUGAAUACGUUCCCGGGUCUUGUACUCACCGCCCGUCACACCAUGGGAGUUGAUUUCACUCGAAGCCGGAAUACUAAAU